CAGCUCAAAAGCCUAAGCAGCAGCACUGACACAUCACAAAGCCUUUCUAUGCCCCCACCUGUUUCCCAGCCUAUUGUCAAGGAAAUGCUUCCCAUCCUACUACUCAAACAGAGGAAACUGGAUAUCAAAAAUUCCUGAAGCAAACUCAGAGCAGGUACCUGGUGAUUUCAGCUCUUUGCUUGCUCCUCUAGACCACCAUCUUGGACACCUAGGAACAAUGUCUCAGGGCACGUGAGGGCACCAACAUGAUUACCCACACAUCGACAGGUGCUGCAUCCAAUAUCUGGCAGAACCUCAGGAGGCUGAAGAACAAGAAAGAUCAAGAAAACCCAUUUUAAAGACUUGAAAAUGGAAUGAGGGAAGAAAUGUUAAAGAUGUACCUCUUUAAAUAGGUUGGAUCUUUUGAAGGAAUACAUAAGAUGCAAAGUAGGUUUUCUACCACACCUAGGGUAUAACAUCAUUAGGUAGUCUGAAGAAACUCCAUGGACAUUUUUCUAUUACUCAUAAUUUCUGUUGCAGUGAGAUCAGAACUAAAUUGAAAAUUAAUUGAAUUUAUGCCAUUUAAAGUACACUGGUCAAGACGUGUCUUUAUUCUGGUCUAAGUUAGAACCCAUUUCAUGUCAUCAGUCUUUACAGUUGCCUCUCCUCCUAAUUCAUAUAUGACCUAUCCAUGGAAAGGUUACAUCUGGGAAUGAGAGUUCACAAUAAUUCAGGAAAUUAUGGCUUUUAUGAGGACUCUCUGUGACUCAAUAACUCCCAAGUUUCUACUUGAAAAUUCAUAUCAGAUUUCUGUGCAUGUCACCUUAGUAAAUUUGUUGCCCCAUUGAUUCCCAAAAUUAAAUGAAAUAAUAAAAAUCACACAUAGAAGAAUUUCAACCCAGUUGUCACUGGUCACUGCAAUUCGUAAGGUAAACCCACUUCAGGGUUUUCACAGGCCCCUUGUGUCACAGAUUGCAGUCAACGUUCUCAUUCAUUUAGCGAGAGAGACUGAUGCUUGCCAAUAACAUGAGAAUAGUUAAAACUGAAGAAGAUUAAAUGUGUAUUAUUAUUUUACAAUUUCUCUAGUUACAUCCAACACAUCUGGGAUCUUUGGCAAUUUUUUAAAAAUUCUGCAAUCUCCCUGAUGUUUAAUUCAUUCUUAUGUUGCAACAAUGAGCUUCACAAGCUCUGUUUUGCCAAGUAGAGAAGGUUAAGGACAAUUAUGAGAUAUAACUGAAGGCUGUGGUAAAAGCAAUAUAUUGUGGAUGGUGGAAAUAUAAAAUAAAUAUGGUGAAAUGUUGGAAAUACUAAUUGGGUUAGGAAACAUCUGUCGAGAGUGACAAACCUAAAGUUUCAGGUUGGUUAGCUUUUUUUUUCCCAAAUGUAAACAGUUCUAGAUAGAUACAGAGGUAGGAGAAUGUUCCCCUUGAUUUGGCAGAACAACAUCUACCAAAUCCAUUCUUCUUAUUCAUACAUUAUUUUUUGACGAUUGUUUUUGUAUCUGCACAGUUUAAAGCUUAUUUCUCAAAGGUCCACAGGUAAUAAUCCACUUCUCCAUGCCCUCCAACAGU
Molecule: non-coding RNA, 1550 nt
Organism: Chiloscyllium plagiosum (whitespotted bambooshark)
Lineage: Eukaryota; Metazoa; Chordata; Chondrichthyes; Orectolobiformes; Hemiscylliidae
Source: RefSeq, a predicted model, not a curated record